UCCAGACUCCUACGGGAGGCAGCAGUGAGGAAUAUUGGUCAAUGGGCGGAAGCCUGAACCAGCCAAGUAGCGUGAAGGAUGACUGCCCUAUGGGUUGUAAACUUCUUUUAUGCGGGGAUAAAGUUCGCCACGUGUGGCGUUUGCAGGUACCGCAUGAAUAAGGACCGGCUAAUUCCGUGC
RNAcentral lists this ribosomal RNA (180 nucleotides) under uncultured bacterium. Its description in RNAcentral is "partial 16S ribosomal RNA". It matches the Rfam family "Bacterial small subunit ribosomal RNA", at positions 330 to 508 of the family's 1533-position model. The record is from RNAcentral.